AGGGUUUGAUCCUGGCUCAGAACGUACGCUGGCGGCACGCCUAACACAUGCAAGUCGAACGAAGUAGCAAUACUUAGUGGCAGACGGGUGAGUAACAUGUAGGUAUCUGCCCUUUGGCCUGGAAUAACACGAGGAAACUUGUGCUAAUACCGGAUAAGUCUUUACGGAGAAAGCUUUAUGCACCAUUGGAUGAGCCUGCACUUGAUUAGUUUGUUGGUGGGGUAAUGGCCUACCAAGACUGUGAUCAAUAGCUGAUUUGAGAGGAUGAUCAGCCACAUUGGGACUGAGACACGGCCCAAACUCCUACGGGAGGCAGCAGUGGGGAAUCUUGCACAAUGGAGGAAACUCUGAUGCAGCGAUGCCGCGUGAGUGAAGAAGGCCUUUGGGUUGUAAAGCUCUUUCGUCGGGGAAGAAAAUGACUGUACCCGAAUAAGAAGGUCCGGCUAACUUCGUGCCAACAGCCGCGGUAAUACGAAGGGACCUAGCGUAGUUCGGAAUUACUGGGCUUAAAGAGUUCGUAGGUGGUUGAAAAAGUUGGUGGUGAAAUCCCAGAGCUUAACUCUGGAACUGCCAUCAAAACUUUUCAGCUAGAGUAUGAUAGAGGAAAGCAGAAUUUCUAGUGUAGAGGUGAAAUUCGUAGAUAUUAGAAAGAAUACCAAUUGCGAAGGCAGCUUUCUGGAUCAUUACUGACACUGAGGAACGAAAGCAUGGGUAGCGAAGAGGAUUAGAUACCCUCGUAGUCCAUGCCGUAAACGAUGUGUGUUAGACGUUGGAAAUUAAUUUUCAGUGUCGCAGCGAAAGCGAUAAACACACCGCCUGGGGAGUACGACCGCAAGGUUAAAACUCAAAUGAAUUGACGGGGACCCGCACAAGUAGUGGAGCAUGUGGUUUAAUUCGAAGAUACGCGCAGAACCUUACCAACACUUGACAUGUUCGUCGCGACUUUGAGAGAUCAAAGUUUUCGGUUCGGCCGGACGAAACACAGGUGCUGCAUGGCUGUCGUCAGCUCGUGUCGUGAGAUGUUGGGUUAAGUCCCGCAACGAGCGCAACCCUCACUUUUAGUUGCCAUCAUUUAGUUGGGCACUCUGAAAGAACUGCCAGUGAUAAGCUGGAGGAAGGUGGGGAUGACGUCAAGUCCUCAUGGCCCUUACGUGUUGGGCUACACACGUGCUACAAUGGUAUCUACAACAGGAAGCAAGACUGCGAAGUUAAGCAAAUCCUUAAAAGAUACCUCAGUUCGGAUUGCACUCUGCAACUCGAGUGCAUGAAGCUGGAAUUACUAGUAAUCGUGGAUCAGCGUGCCACGGUGAAUGCGUUCCCGGGUCUUGUACACACCGCCCGUCACACCAUGGGAGUUGGUUCUACCUUAAGGCAAGGUUUCAAACCCUUGACCACGGUAUAGUCAGCGACUGGGGUGAAGUCGUAACAAGGUAACCGUA
RNAcentral lists this ribosomal RNA (1439 nucleotides) under uncultured bacterium. RNAcentral describes it as "bacterial SSU rRNA". It matches the Rfam family "Bacterial small subunit ribosomal RNA". The record is from RNAcentral.